This 7976-nucleotide long non-coding RNA is filed under the name Pelobates cultripes (western spadefoot toad). Lineage: Eukaryota; Metazoa; Chordata; Amphibia; Anura; Pelobatidae. The record is from RNAcentral.
CUCUGACUCCCAUCAGACUGAGACCCCACUGGACCCAGUGGAAAGUCACCCUCCUGCAAAAGGUAGGAAACAGGAAACAUUUUGUAUGUGUGUGUCUCUGUAUGUAUAUGUGUGUGUAUGUAUCUGUAUGUGUAUGUCUGUCGGGGGUGUAUGUGUGUCUCUGUAUGUGUGUAGUGUAUAUGUGUGUCUGUAUGUAUGUGUCGGGGGGGCCCACGGAUCGGUUUUGCACCAGGGCCCCAUGGAUUGUGUGUACGCCACUGUAGAGUAGUGUUAAAGUUAAUGUUAGAGUAGGGUUAUGGUUAACUGUAUGGUUAGGGUCAGUGUUAAUUAUCUCUAUGGGCUACAUUUUCACUUCACAAACUGACAAUUGAUAUUAUUUGUUAUUUUCAUUCUCCACCUUAGGUAGAGAAAUCAAACACACUGUGGUCAUGGCUGAUACUUCUCAAAUUCGGGUCACACUCCUCUAGAGGGUAUAAGUCCACUAAAGUCUUCUAAGAUGUACGUUCCUUGUUUAAUAUUGUUAAAGCAGCUGACUGGUCCACAGAAUCAACAUUUGAAACAUUUUAUUUUAAACCUGUUUCCCUUGUUUCUAUGGUUAUAUAAUAAUGUAAUUAUGUAUGUAGAUUAUUCUAGCUUUAGUGUACCAAUAAUCUUAUUUUCUAAAAUGACAGGAGACAGAUGUUUUGCUUGUCUUUCUUUACUGAACUCCAUAGCAGCAUUCGUUUUUGUACUUAGAAACAACAUAACCAAUCAAAAAACAAAGUCACGGAUAUAAGGUGUUGCCAGUAUAAGUCUUCCUCUUUCUUUUAUGUGAGGAAACUAACAGGAAAAGUUCCAGAGGAGAAAAUAAACACUCCCAAAAAGAACAAAUUCCAAAUAUUGUCCUAAAUGUGAAGAAAAUGUAACAACAUAGAAUGCAAGAAGCCAAAACUCUGCAUCCUCAUUCAAAACAAGAUAAUGAAAAAUUUACAAUGAAAAAAUAAAAUAAACAGUAAAAGAAGAUAAAUCAUGGGUCUGUUGAAAUUGUAAUAAAAAUGUCUGAACAUACAUAGAUAAAGUGUAAAACGGUACAAAAAAAACGGCCCAAACUUAUAAACAUAGUCUAAACAAAGAUAUUCAUAUGAAUAAAUAAAGCAUGACAAAAAAAUAUAAAAUGAGAUACAGAAUAUCAAAAAAAUUGUGAAAAAAGGAAAGGUAGGGAAAUAUUUGCCUCCUUUCAUUAUUUAAAAUUUAGAUUACUGAUAUAUUUAAGCCAGCAUAAUUACUAGAUUUUACUAAUUACAUGACGUAAAGUCAUGAUUUUAUAAAGGACACAGAGGCGAGUAUUAGGCUUAAGGGUUAACCAUAUAAUAUUCCAAACAUAUUAACCAAUGGGAUCAAUCCUUGUUCUAUGUCCCCUCAUGUGACUUAAUCCACUUCCUCUUUCUAGCUGACACCGAAGCUGAGCAUAUCAACGGGUAAAACGAUUAACUUGAACUGUCUCAGGUAGAGGGUUCCAGUGAGUCUGUUCUGGUAUAGAUAGGAAGGAGAGGGUGAUCCUGAAUAUUCCAUUACAGGGUUAAGCUGUAGGAGACAGAGAGAUAAGUGGUAAAAUAUAUUCAAAUAUCGUUGUCAUACAUAUAAACUGUGCAAGUUUUUAAAGAAGUGUUAUAUCUUAACUCAUAUUUUUAUUUGGAUCCAGCAAAAAAAAUCAAACCCAAAUCAUUAUUAGUAUAUAGUACAUCACUUGAACAUCUAACUUGCUACUACCUGUUUAUCGGUAAUUGGGUGGGAAAAAUAACAUGUACGACUUACCUGUCAUUGGGCGGGCUAAUACUCGCCUCCGUGUCCUUUAUAAAAUCAUGACUUUAUGUCAUGUAAUUAGUAAAAUCUGGUAAUUUUAUUAAAGGACACAGAGGCUCACAUUACUCUAGUUUAAAGCUGUGAUAUAACCAUAGAUGAGAUAUUUUCUGUUGGCCAGAAGUAGUAUUCUUUGAACGUCGAUUCCCGGGACCAAUCAGCUGUGGGAAGAAGGUCUUCCAAUUUACAGCCAAUGGAGAAUGCCUUAGAGGCCAUAGCGCCUCUCGUGGAGUGAGCUCCGUAAACUGAUGUGUCGAUGUUAGCAGCUGACAUUAUCCAUUUUACCCAGCAUGCCAGAGUUACUGUGGAUAUUGGGUGAUGAGGUUUUCUCACCGCCAAGAACAGGUCGUGUGUUGUUGGGUUCCGGAAUGCCUGUGUCCGCCUUUCGUAUUCCUGGAGGCAUGCCACCGGGCAGAGGUUAGCAUUGUGAGGAAAGGAGGGAUAGAAGACUGACGUGAUUUUUGAUUUCGUACGUCUGGUAGUAGUAAACAGGACACCUUGCGGGGUGAAGGACCGUGUAUCGAUAUCCAGUGCUCGAACGUCUGACACCAUUUUGCAGGAGAUUAAGCACAGGAGCAUAGCUAAUUUUGCAGACACUUGUUUGAGUGUGAGAUCUGUGUUUGGAGGCCAGUCUUACAGUAAACGAAGGACCAUAUUAACAUCCCAUAAGGCCGUGUAGUGGGGUUGAGGUGGACGUGCAAAUUUUAUGCCUCGUCGAAGACGACAGACCAAUAAGUGUUUCCCAGCUGGGAAACCUUCCCAUCCGUUGUGGGCUGCUGAAAUUUUUUAUCUAUACACAUUUAUGGUGCGAUAGGCCAAGCCUUGAUCAUACAGGGUAGUAAGUAAACGGUACCUGGUUUAUAGAAGCACGUAGGGGAUCCACGUGUCGUUCCAGGCAUCAACUACACCAUGCAUUCCAGACAUGAGUAUAGGAUCGUUUUGUUCCUGGGGCCCAAGCUUCUGCCAAUAAGUCCAGAGUUGUUUGUGAAAUGCUUGGCAUUGUCCAGGGUCCCCAUAGAGGAGCCACGCCAGGAGUCUGAGGUGGCCUUGCACCAGAAGCGGGUGAGGGUUCCCAUCGGGGUCUGAUAAUAGUUCUGUGAAUCCUGGAAUCAAUCUGGGGAGGUCGAUAGACAUUUCCAUGACUGAAGGGAACGAAGGUGGUGCCGUCCAGAAUGGUGUUGUUAACACCAACGAUGUUUGGGAGCGUUGCAGGUGUAGGAGAGUUUGUGUUAUGAGUGAGAACGGGGUGAAAGCAUAUAGUCGGUUGCUUGACCAGUGUUGUAGGAAGGCAUCCACUACCAUGGCGUCUGGGUCCGGUCUCCAGCUGAAGAAUGAGGGAAGUUGAGCGUUCAGCUGGGAGGCAAAGAGGUUGAUGUGCAUCGGCCCCAGAGUUGCUGGAGUUUCUGGAAUAUCGUGUGAUUUAGUCGCCAGGUGCUGUUGUCUUGUAAAUGUCUGGAGUUCCAAUCUGCUACGGUGUUGGAGAGUCCCGGAAGGUAUUCUGCCUGUACUGAUAUAUUGCGGCUCAGACAGAAGUGCCAAAAUUCUUUUGCUAGGUCUGUGAGUAUUGACGAUCUCGUGCCACCCAAGUGGUUGAUGUAGCGAAUGGCCGAAAUAUUGUCCAUACGAAGAAGUAUGGAACAAUUGGUUGUGUGUCCGAGGAGGCUCCAGAGGGCAAAUGACCCAGCUAUGAGUUCUAGACUGUUGAUGUGAAGUUCCUUUUCUUUUGAGGACCAUUUUCCACCUGUAGAGGUGGGACCACAACGAGCGCCCCAUCCGAGUCUGCUCGCGUCGGAUUCUAUGAUGAGAUCCGGGGUGGUUCCGAAGAUCGCCUUGCCAUUCCAUGCUUCCAUGUGUUGAAGCCACCAUGUUAGUUCCUCUUUUGCUGUGCAGUCUAGCAGGACAGAAUCUGAGUAAGAUUGACCCGAACGUAGGUGGGUGGCUUUGAGCUGUUGCAGGGCUCUGUAGUGGAUAGGUCCUGGGAAGAUCGCUUGUAUGGAAGCGCAGAGCAGGCCAAUUAUCCUGGAUAGUUGCCGUAAGGUCAGGACUGGUCGUGACAAAGUCUGUCGGAUUUCCUUCUUGAUGAGUUUUACCUUUGUGGUUGGUAGACUGAGCGUUCCGUGAAUUGCAUCUAUAUUGAAGCCCAGAAACUCUAUUCAUAGGGAAGGUUGCAGGAUUGACUUGUCCCAGUUGAUUAGGAAACCCAGGUUUUGCAGCAGGAUCAACGCCCAGGAUAGAUGUUGGUUCAGUAGAUGGGUGUCAUGAGCCAUGAUCAGCAUGUCGUCGAGGUUUAUGAUCACACAUACAUCUCUGCUGCGGAGAAGGGUGACUACCGGUUUCAGCAAUUUGGUGAAGCACCACAGGGCUGAGGACAGGCCGAAAGGGAGGCAUCGGAAACGCCACAUCGUCUUUUCCCAUUGGAAUUUAAUUAAGUGGUGGCAUUCCUCUGCAAUCGGUAUCAUGAGGUAUGCAUCCUGGAGGUCCAGUUUUACCAUCCAGUCUCCCAGUCUGAGGAGGUCCCGAAGGCAGUGUAUCCCUUCCAUCUUGAAGUGAUGGUAUGUGACAAAGGCGUUGAGCAGUCGCAGGUGUAUUACUGAUCUCACGCCUCCACCUUUCUUGGGCACUAAGAAGAUAUUGCUUAGGAAACAGGGGGCGGUAGCUGAGACUUUGUAGAUCGCACCUUUCAUUUCUAGUGCACGAAUCUCGUCUGCUACCAGGUUUUUGUCUCGUGGGGAAAAAACAAUCCAAUGUGGUAAUGAGAAUUGAAUCGGUUGUUGUGUGAAUUCGAUGUGGUAACCUAGAAUAGUCUCUAGGACCCAGACAUCUGAGGUUAGUUUGUGCCAGGCAUCGUGGAAAUGAAACAGUCUGCCCCCCACAUGUAAUAAGGAACGGGUGUGUAAAAGAAAAUGACUCAUCAUAAGGCCGACGGCCAUAGGAGGAUCCCCUGAUUCCACGUGGGUGCCACGACCUGCCCCUGGUUGGGAAAAAUGGUGGCUGUGUACUGCAUUCAGGAGGCUGGAAUUGUGUUGGGGCGGAGCCUCGAAAGGCCCGGUAUGAAGUCCGGGGGGAGCGGCUGGACAGACGGCCACUCUGUCUGCCGGCCCCACCAAAAACCCUCUGCGAGAACACACGCUUCAUAUUAUUUUGUCUAGUGCCGUGAAAGUGCUGACAUAGUUUCCCAGGGUUUUUACAAAGUCGUCUCCGAAUAGGAGACCUUUUGCUUGUAUGCCAGGCAUGUGUAUUAGUUUUGGUUCAAUCUUCAUCAGUAUGGCUUUACGCCGUUCCGUAGCCAAAGCGGUAUUGGCGUUUCAAAUUAGGCAAAUGCCUCUCUGGAUCCAUCCCUUGAUGGCCAGUAAGUCAACUGAGGUCCUCUCAGUAAGAGCAGUUUCGAAGGGCAUUCCGCCCUUAGCUUACUCCUUGUGGCCUUAUCAAGGGGUUUUCUUACCCUGGUCGCUAUGUAAAUGGCCACAUGAGUUAUGGGGUACCAGUCCGCUGAGCGCGGAUUGUGCAGGGUAUUCGAAUCAAAGAGGGGUUCCCCUUGGGGAUUUAAAACUGCGGAUUUGUCCGCCUUUUGAUCAGAGUCUAUCGCUGGGAGUGCUGUCUCGCUACGUUCAGGGGACAAGUUGUCUGAGUCAACCGGGUCGAUGGCAUCGGACCCAUCUGACACCUCCUCUGAGUCCGAAUCGGAGUCAGACAAAUCAGGUAGGGCUUUUGCCCUCUUCCAAUUCCGCAACGAUUUUGCCCGGCAGGGAGCUCUUUUAUGUGGGAGCACCACGUCCUCAGUUUCAACAGGGCGCAACCUGUCCGUCACACUGGUUUUAGAGGCAGCACCUGUUAGAUGGUGCGAUUUGCAUGUAGCCUUGCGGCCGCUAGGGACCAUCGGCUUACUAUCAGAGGUUAUAGGGGCUGAGCUGGGGGUUCUGCCAGAUGCCAUGAUAGCGGAGGAGAUAGUGUGUGAAAGGGUGUCAGACAUUGCUCCCAUGUGUCACUGACUUGCUCAUUGUAGAAUCCAGGAGUGCCUGGAACUCCUCUAAAUUCGCGUGGUCCUGGGAUGCUUCCUCCCCACUCCCAAUGGCCGCAAUGCCUAUAGGCAGGGCUGUUGUAUUACGACUGGUAGGUUUUGCAGAGGUGGGGGAGCAAUAGCUUGUUUGUCAGCAGGGGACUGCAUACUGGUCAGGAUGCACUACAAAGGGAGAACUGGGGGAAGCACUUAGCAGUAUUGGACUAAUGGAAUAUGGCACAGGGAAAACAAAUACCCUUACAGUGGGUUAUGACCCAGAGGAUAACUGUAAGUGGUGAAAAAAAAAAACAACUCACUUUGAAUAGUGUUAAAGCACUUUAGGACAAGGGCACAUUAACGAGGCACAAAUAAGAUAUUGACACAAAUAAUAUGGCAGCUUACCGAGUGUUCCCUCAGGAAUUACUCCUGGGGGACACUGGUAAGCUGCCCAACACCUCUAUUAGCCAAUCAGCUCGCGCCCCUCCCAAAACGAGCGGCGCGAGCGACGGGUAAUAGCGCGGCAAAUUUGCCAACCCCAAAAUGGCCGCUGUGAUGCGUGGGAGAGAACCGCGCAUGCGCGAGCAGUCUAGGUGGCAGGUAAGUUAAUGGCCACGUUCCAUUGAGCGGCUAAAUUAUGAGCCGGUGAGGUGUGGGCGGGUAGGGGGAGGGAGGGGCACCUCGGGGGGCCGUCCCAUACACUGUGGGGAAAGGAAGAAAAACGGGUUAUAAACAACCCGGACUGCAGUGCAGGAUAGGGGCUUGUCCCAGGGAAGGGACAAGUACCCUGCACUAAGGGGGAAAGAAACACAGACAAACAAAGCACUGGUAGUAGAUAUAUACAGUAGAGUGUAAAGAAAAAACACUAACCAAAAAAAUAAUGAAAUAAUAAGGUAUUAACAGGAAGAAAACACAGUAAAUACUACAAAUUUUUCAGAGCAUGAAAAAAUAUGAGGUACUUAGCUGAGGCAGCAGCAAAGAAAGAGGAAGUGGAUUAGGUCACAUGAGGGGACAUAGAACAAGGAUUGAUCCCAUUGGUUAAUAUGUUUGGAAUGUUAUAUGGUUAACCCGUAGGGGUAUUUUGUGUUUUUCUUGUUAUUGUUAUGUUAAAAUAUCAAUAUCCUUUCUUUGCUGCUGAGGAAUAAAGAAAGAGAUAAAGCCUAAUGUGAGCCUCCGUGUCCUUUAAUAAAAUUAUAAUUUUAUUACAUAACAGGAAGCUUAAUAUUUGACCUUUUUACAGCUCAGGAAGUAGCAAAAAAGAAGCAUGUGGAGCAGAACGGAAGUAAAUCACCUUGAAAAAGUGCCCUCUCUUGACCAGAGCAGUGGACAUUCCAGAGGAAAAAGCAAUCAAAGCCAUGGCAAUUCAAACUGAAUGCCGAAUGAAGACCCAUGCCUGUCAAAGACAAAAACCACCUGAUCCAGAAAGUGAUGUCUAAAACUGUACCAUUUCCAAUGAUACUCUAGUUCUCUGCUCCAGCCAUGUUUAAAGUCAGUUGAUGUACUGCACAACAGGUACAUUACCAAUACACUGGAGAACGCAACAAUCUGUUGAAUCUCUUGCUAGACGGGGAAUGGCAAAAGACCAUGCAAAGAGCUCCAAGCAAUUAAUGUGGCUUCUGAUUCCACCAUACUGCUCUAGAAGCUCCAUCCAUGGAGGAAGUGCCCAAGUCCCAAAGGCUGGUGUCGAAUUCCAGAAUAAGAUCCAGAGUGGAACCAUAAAUGGCUCUGUCAAUUUAGGUAUUAAUAUGAAGUAAUCACCAAUGGAGUUUCAUCCUCACUAAUCUCGUCAGAGAUUCCAUCAGAAUGUAUGACAGAAAAAGCUGUCUGAGUGUUUGGAUUUUAAUUGCUGCAUUACUCUGUAAUGGAAAACCCAGAAAGAUUGCCUGAAUGAAAGAAGAAAGUAGUUCGCUAAUUCUGGUCAGCAAACAAAGAGGCAUAGAAUAGUGCAGAAGUACAUGCCAGAUUUCUUUCUGAAUCAAGGAAAUCUUUGUCUUGACCUUAAAAUUGAGGAACUGGACUGAGUGUGGCAGAGAAAGGGCCAACUUGUCUCAAUUCUUGAGAAAUUUCAAAGAUUUGAGAAAAUAUAUGGCAAAGAGAACAGAUAAAGUAAUGUCUGUGCAAAAAAAAAAAAUCAAGUAGAGGG